GGUGUGUACAAGGCCCGGGAACGUAUUCACCGCGGCAUGCUGAUCCGCGAUUACUAGCGAUUCCAGCUUCACGCAGUCGAGUUGCAGACUGCGAUCCGAACUGAGAACAGAUUUAUGGGAUUGGCUAAACCUUGCGGUCUCGCAGCCCUUUGUUCUGUCCAUUGUAGCACGUGUGUAGCCCAGGUCAUAAGGGGCAUGAUGAUUUGACGUCAUCCCCACCUUCCUCCGGUUUGUCACCGGCAGUCACCUUAGAGUGCCCAACUAAAUGCUGGCAACUAAGAUCAAGGGUUGCGCUCGUUGCGGGACUUAACCCAACAUCUCACGACACGAGCUGACGACAACCAUGCACCACCUGUCACUCUGUCCCCGAAGGGAAAGCCCUAUCUCUAGGGUUGUCAGAGGAUGUCAAGACCUGGUAAGGUUCUUCGCGUUGCUUCGAAUUAAACCACAUGCUCCACCGCUUGUGCGGGCCCCCGUCAAUUCCUUUGAGUUUCAGUCUUGCGACCGUACUCCCCAGGCGGAGUGCUUAAUGCGUUAGCUGCAGCACUAAGGGGCGGAAACCCCCUAACACUUAGCACUCAUCGUUUACGGCGUGGACUACCAGGGUAUCUAAUCCUGUUCGCUCCCCACGCUUUCGCUCCUCAGCGUCAGUUACAGACCAGAGAGUCGCCUUCGCCACUGGUGUUCCUCCACAUCUCUACGCAUUUCACCGCUACACGUGGAAUUCCACUCUCCUCUUCUGCACUCAAGUUUCCCAGUUUCCAAUGACCCUCCCCGGUUGAGCCGGGGGCUUUCACAUCAGACUUAAGAAACCGCCUGCGAGCCCUUUACGCCCAAUAAUUCCGGACAACGCUUGCCACCUACGUAUUACCGCGGCUGCUGGCACGUAGUUAGCCGUGGCUUUCUGGUUAGGUACCGUCAAGGUGCGAGCAGUUACUCUCGCACUUGUUCUUCCCUAACAACAGAGCUUUACGAUCCGAAAACCUUCAUCACUCACGCGGCGUUGCUCCGUCAGACUUUCGUCCAUUGCGGA
This 1033-nucleotide ribosomal RNA is filed under the name Bacillus pumilus. RNAcentral describes it as "partial 16S ribosomal RNA". The record is from RNAcentral. Lineage: Bacteria; Bacillati; Bacillota; Bacilli; Caryophanales; Bacillaceae.